This 2390-nucleotide ribosomal RNA is filed under the name human gut metagenome. Its description in RNAcentral is "bacterial LSU rRNA". It matches the Rfam family "Bacterial large subunit ribosomal RNA", at positions 385 to 2615 of the family's 2925-position model. The record is from RNAcentral.
GUUGUGUGGUGUGGAUGUGGUGCCCGAGUAGUGCGGGACUCGUGAAAUCUCGUGUGAAUCUGCCAAGACCACUUGGUAAGCCUAAAUACUACUUGAUGACCGAUAGUGCAUAGUACCGUGAGGGAAUGGUGAAAAGUACCCCGGGAGGGGAGUGAAAUAGUACCUGAAACCGUGUGCCUGUAAGCCGUCAGAGCCUUGUGGGGUGAUGGCGUGCCUUUUGAAGAAUGAGCCUGCGAGUUAGUGAUACGUGGCGUGCUUAACCCGUGUGGGGUAUGCGUAGCGAAAGCGAGUCUGAAAUAUUGGCGUUUGUCGCGUGUUCUAGACCCGAAGCGGGGUGAUCUACCCAUGGUCAGGUUGAAGCAGAGGUAAGACUGUGUGGAGGACCGAACCCACCAGGGUUGAAAACCUGGGGGAUGAACUGUGGGUAGGGGUGAAAGGCCAAUCAAACUCCGUGAUAGCUGGUUCUCCCCGAAAUGCAUUUAGGUGCAGCGUCGCGUGGUCCCUGGUGGAGGUAGAGCUACUGGAUGGCCGAUGGGCCCUGUGGGUUACUGACGUCAGCCAAACUCCGAAUGCCAUUAGGUGUAGCGCGGCAGUGAGACUGCGGGGGAUAAGCUUCGUAGUCGAGAGGGAAACAGCCCAGAUCAUCAGCUAAGGCCCCUAAGCGUGCGCUAAGUGGGAAAGGAUGUGGAGUCGCGGUGACAACCAGGAGGUUGGCUUAGAAGCAGCCAUCCUUGAAAGAGUGCGUAAUAGCUCACUGGUCAAGUGGUUCUGCGCCGACAAUGUAGCGGGGCUCAAGCGUACCGCCGAAGCUGUGGCAACGACACGCAAUGCUGGCGCCAGGAACUGGAGUGCUGGUGUGUUGUUGGGUAGGGGAGCGUCCUGCACGAGGUGAAGCCUGGAGGGAACUUCUGGUGGAUUGUGUGGGAGUGAGAAUGCAGGCAUGAGUAACGAAUCUGCGGUGAGAAUCCGCAGCGCCGAUUGACUAAGGGUUCCAGGGCUAGGUUUAUCCGCCCUGGGUUAGUCGGGUCCUAAGGCGAGGCCGACAGGCGUAGUCGAUGGACAACCAGUUGAUAUUCUGGUACCGCGUUAUGACCGCCCAUGCUGAAGUCAUUGUGCUAACCAAUUUGCUCACGCCACCAUGAUUCCUUCGGGUUUUGUGGUGUGUGUGGGUCUUGGGGUCCCGGUGAUUGUAGGCAAGCGUGUUAACAGGGGUGACGCAGACAGGUAGCUGCAGUGCGCCGAUGGUUGUGCGUAUUUAAGGUUGUGGCCCGCCUCCCAGGUAAAUCCGGGGGGCACUAGGGGUGAGAACUGAUGAGGGACACACGCGUGUGUGGACUUGUGGUGAUCCUAAGCUGCCGAGAAAAGCCUCGACGUGAGGGCAUAACGCGCCCGUACCCUAAACCGACUCAGGUGGUCAGGUAGAGUAUACCGAGGCGUUCGAGUGAAUCGUGGUUAAGGAACUCGGCAAAAUUCCUCCGUAACUUCGGGAUAAGGAGGACCCCGUCACUUCCCCGCGCCCAGCGUGCGGGUGGGGUUGUGGGGUCGCAGAGAAUAGGGAGAAGCGACUGUUUAUCAAAAACACAGGUGCGUGCGAAGCCGUAAGGCGAUGUAUACGCACUGACGCCUGCCCGGUGCUGGAAGGUUAAGAGGAACUGUCAACACUCCGUUGGGGUGUGAAGCGGUGAAUUUAAGCCCCAGUAAACGGCGGUGGUAACUAUAACCAUCCUAAGGUAGCGAAAUUCCUUGUCGGGUAAGUUCCGACCUGCACGAAUGGCGUAACGACUUCCCCACUGUCUCGACCAGGAGCUCGGCGAAAUUGCAGUACGAGUAAAGAUGCUCGUUUCGCGCAGAAGGACGGAAAGACCCCGGGACCUUUACUAUAGCUUGGUAUUGGUGUUCGCUUGGACUUGUGUAGGAUAGGUGGGAGACUGUGAAGCUGCCGCGCCAGCGGUGGUGGAGUCGUCGUUGAAAUACCAUUCUGGUUCAAGCGGUCACCUCAACCUUGGCCCGUGAUCCGGGUUGGGGACAGUGCCUGGUGGGUAGUUUAACUGGGGCGGUUGCCUCCUAAAAUGUAACGGAGGCGCUCAAAGGUUCCCUCAGCCUGGUUGGUAAUCAGGUGGCGAGUGCAAGUGUACAAGGGAGCUUGACUGUGAGACCGACGGGUCGAGCAGGUGCGAAAGCAGGAACUAGUGAUCCGGCCAUGGCACGUGGGUGCGUGGUCGCUCAACGGAUAAAAGGUACCCCGGGGAUAACAGGCUGAUCUUGCCCAAGAGUCCAUAUCGACGGCAUGGUUUGGCACCUCGAUGUCGGCUCGUCGCAUCCUGGGGCUGGAGUCGGUCCCAAGGGUUGGGCUGUUCGCCCAUUAAAGCGGUACGCGAGCUGGGUUCAGA